GCUUGUCUCAAAGAUUAAGCCAUGCAUGUCUCAGCAUAAGCUUCAACACGGUGAAACUGCAAAUGGCUCAUUAAAGCAGUUACAAUUUAUUUGAUGGUGACUUACUACAUGGAUAACCGUAGUAACCUAGAGCUAAUACAUGCACAAAAUCCCGACUUCACGGAAGGGAUGUAUUUAUUAGAUAAAAAACCAAUCCGGCAACGGUGCUUGGUGAUUCAUAAUAACUGUUCGAAGCGCACGGCCUCGCGCCGGCGCUAGUUCAUUCAAAUUUCUGCCCUAUCAGCUUUCGACGGUAGUGUAGUGGACUACCGUGGCGCUAACGGGUGACGGAGAAUUAGGGUUCGGUUCCGGAGAGGGAGCCUGAGAAACGGCUACCACAUCCAAGGAAGGCAGCAGG
This 397-nucleotide ribosomal RNA is filed under the name uncultured Filosa. RNAcentral describes it as "partial small subunit ribosomal RNA". It matches the Rfam family "Eukaryotic small subunit ribosomal RNA", at positions 30 to 432 of the family's 1831-position model. Lineage: Eukaryota; Cercozoa. The record is from RNAcentral.